CAUGAAGCCGGAAUUGCUAGUAAUGGCAGGUCAGCAUACUGCCGUGAAUACGUUCCCGGGCCUUGUACACACCGCCCGUCACACCAUGGGAGUCGGAAAUGCCCGAAGUCUGUGACCCAACCGGAAGGAAGGAGCAGCCGAAGGCAGGUCUGAUGACUGGGGUGAAGUCGUAACAAGGUAAC
Molecule: ribosomal RNA, 182 nt
Filed under: uncultured bacterium
Lineage: Bacteria
Description: partial 16S ribosomal RNA
Rfam family: Bacterial small subunit ribosomal RNA
Source: RNAcentral